UUGACCUCGGAUCAGGAGGAAUACCCGC
This 28-nucleotide ribosomal RNA is filed under the name Colletotrichum fragariae. Its description in RNAcentral is "partial 28S ribosomal RNA". Lineage: Eukaryota; Fungi; Ascomycota; Sordariomycetes; Glomerellales; Glomerellaceae. The record is from RNAcentral.